RNAcentral lists this long non-coding RNA (706 nucleotides) under Rattus norvegicus (Norway rat). RNAcentral describes it as "long non-coding RNA NONRATT021114". Lineage: Eukaryota; Metazoa; Chordata; Mammalia; Rodentia; Muridae. The record is from RNAcentral.
UGUGGCACAGGAAGGAGAGAGAAGGAGCCCUUGGGAUGGGGACAAGAAAAGAGGCAGGGAGACAAGUUAGGAAGUGAUGGCUGGUGACCGACUUAGACCUAUUGGCAGUGGAUACUGAAUUGGUCAAAGUCGAGUUCUGUUUUGAACCAGCAGGAUGCUAAUAUUUUAGAUACAGAAAAAUAAAUCCAGUAUGAUUCCUGAGUGCUUUCUGCACUGGAGUAAACUAAAUGGUACAUGGGUUCCAAGGACAUCUGUGUUGAAAAUAAAAACAUUGCCUUUCUUAGUGUUCUCAGUGCUAAAAGUACAGCCAUUAGUGUAGACAAUAAAACCACUCGGUGGUAUAGAAAAACUGAGACAUUUUUGGUAUUUCCUUUAAAAUCUAUGCAUGUUAAGAACACCAGCUGCUCUUCCAGAGGACCUGUAAUGAUUUUAGCUUCUGCAUGUCAGCUCAAACUGACUAACUGCAGUUCCAGGGGAUCCAUCUGACACUGGGCACACAUGUGGUACACAUGCAUUCAUGCAGGCAAAACAUCCUGCACCACGUUACUUAUGCACUUACAUGCUCUAUAUCAAGUGACCGUGCAGUCUUGUUCUGCAUACUUGCCUUUUUCAUCAGGGCCCCAGACCCCAUGCAUACCAAGCAAACAUCCUACCACGGAGCAGAGCUCCAUUCCGAAGCCCCACUGGUCUACAUUAAUUAUCAAUG